CUUGGUCAUUUAGAGGAAGUAAAAGUCGUAACAAGGUUUCCGUAGGUGAACCUGCGGAAGGAUCAUUAUUGAAAUAAACCUGAUGAGUUGYUGCUGGUUCUCUAGGGAGCAAUGUGCACACUUGUCAUYUUUGUAUCUUCACCUGUGCAUCUUUUGUAGACCUGACUAUCUCUCUGAAUGCUUAUGGCACUCAGGAUUGAGAAUUGACUUCUUGUCUUUUCUUAUAUGUUAGGUCUAUGUUUCUUCAUAUACCCUAUGUAUGUUUAUAGAAUGUAAUCAAUGGGCCUUUGUGCCUAUAAACCUUUACAACUUUCAGCAACGGAUCUCUUGGCUCUCGCAUCGAUGAAGAACGCAGCGAAAUGCGAUAAGUAAUGUGAAUUGCAGAAUUCAGUGAAUCAUCGAAUCUUUGAACGCACCUUGCGCUCCUUGGUAUUCCGAGGAGCAUGCCUGUUUGAGUGUCAUUAAUAUAUCAACCUUUUUGGGUUGGAUGUGGGUUUGCUGGCCUUUUGAGGUCAGCUCCCCUUAAAUGCAUUAGCGGACAACAUUUUGCCAACUGUUCAUUGGUGUGAUAAUUAUCUACGCUAUUGACMUGAAGCAAWRGUUCAGCUUCUAAUAGUCCAUUGACUUGGACAACUCUUAUUUAUUAAUUUGACCUCAAAUCAGGUAGGACUACCCGCUGAACUUAAGCAUAUCAAUAA
This 698-nucleotide ribosomal RNA is filed under the name Calonarius platypus. Its description in RNAcentral is "eukaryotic LSU rRNA". The stretch from base 308 to 461 matches the Rfam family "5.8S ribosomal RNA". Lineage: Eukaryota; Fungi; Basidiomycota; Agaricomycetes; Agaricales; Cortinariaceae. The record is from RNAcentral.